This 3709-nucleotide long non-coding RNA is filed under the name Sus scrofa (pig). RNAcentral describes it as "lncRNA (ENSSSCG00060049985.1)". The record is from RNAcentral. Lineage: Eukaryota; Metazoa; Chordata; Mammalia; Artiodactyla; Suidae.
UUUUUUUUUUUUUGGUCUUUUUAGGGCUGUACACCUGGUAUAUGGAAAUUCCCAGCUGUAACUCUGAUUGGACCCCUAGCCUGGGAACCUCUAUAUGCUGUGGGUGCAACCCUAAAAAGCAAAAAAAAAAAAAAAAAAGGAAAGAGUACUUAUAGUAGGUUAGUAAUAAUGCCACAUGUGGAUGUACUUGAUGUAUUUCUUUUUCCCUAUGUCCAUCCUAUCAGUUAUAGGGAGCAAAAGGUUAACAUUCUCUUUAUGUGAAGACAAUUUGGUUUUACUAUGAUGAACCUAGAAUGCCAUUGGCAAUGAAUUAUACUAUCUACAUAAUGCCUAAUUUAAAAAAAUUAUUUAAGUGACAUACAGUCAAUAAACCUGUAAAGUGGACUGAUUUAUUCAGUUACAUAGAAAUCUACUUCGAAACUUUUUUUUUUCUUGGACUUUUUGCUAAAAAUUAUAUUGCUAACAGAAUUAAUAAGUAAAUAUUUAGCCUGGUAAGUACUUCAACGUGCCUUAUAGAAAAAGGAAAAAUACUUUUACUUUAUCGAGACCCCUUUAACUAGCUAUCUGACUGAAGAAAAAAAUAGCAUAUUUAUUUGAAAGGAGACAGUGUCAUGGGUAGUCUUUAGACCCCCAUGCAGCCAUAGCAGAAUGGGCUUUGGGCCUGAACACUUCUUUACCUAAAGCGCCCACACAGCCUAUACAGGCUUUAUCACCUUGAGCGGGAAUAUCUUUCUCUGUUUCAGACUGAGUAUUCCUUUGUCCUGCUUAUGUAUGUGUGUCUAUAUCCUAAGGGCUUCAGUACUUCAGACUCCAUGGAGAAGGAGGAGGGGUCCUUCUAUUGCAUCAAGAAAGGGCUGAGCUAAGCCAGUUGCCCAGCUUCCACUACCAAGAGGACCUGGGAGCCACGUGGGAACUGACACACUCUAUUGGUGCUGAUCUUGGUCUGUCUCUUCUCUUCCUGGUGCAAAGCAUUACUCCACCCAGUGCUUGACUGGGUUGUGUCUUCCUUGGCAAUUUGCAUUCGAAAAUGCAAUGGGCAGAAGUGUUUGGACCUCUCUUCCUGGUGGCUGGCAUUGUGAUGCUCUUAGUUUUCCUUUGUGGAGUUGGAGUCCUCCUCUGGCAUUGGUAACCGUGCAUGGUGUUCUAAUCAACAAUAUUGCUUUAAUAAUACCACUCAAAAUUAAUGUUUCUUGGAACAUCAUUUAGAAAUUAUUUCUCUAGAUAAUUGAAAUUUCAGAUAUUAGAGAGGUCUUGUGGUUUUGACAUUUACUCAACUGGUAAGGUAUUGUGAAUUUAACCUACAAUUUAAAAAUUAUGAAAAAAAUGAUGUGAUGGUCUGUUUUCACUCUAUUUACUCUGUGGAUAUUAAGGACAUUGUUCAUCAUGGUCCUCUUUAGAAGUUAACAGGUAUAUUUAUGCAAUUUGACAAACUCACUCAUAUCUCUCUUAUGUACAAAUAUCUGCUAAUUUUAUAACUAGAUUUUUAUUUUCCUAUGUGUUGGUUAUUCACUAUGUUUUGCUUUUCUUUUCACUUUUACUUCAAGUAUACUUUAAAUGUUUUGCUGCAUGUAUAUUAUCUAUUGCUGCAAUAACAAAUGACCAUAAAUUUAGUGGCUUGAAUAACAGAGACUUGUUAUGUCACACUCAAUUAGUCAGAAGUCUGUGUUGACACAGUUCUUUGUUCCACGAUUCAAGGUGUCAGUCUACUGGGUUCUUAUUAGAGGGUGCUAGCAAAAAUUUACUCCCAGUUCAUUUAUGUUAUUGGUGAAACCUGGAGUCUAGUAGUUGUAGGACUGUCAUUCCCACUCCCUUGCUGGCCAUUAGCUAGGUGCUGCAAUUAUUGCAAAGACUUCCCUCCCAUCCCUACAGGAGGACCCCUGCAUCUCAGAGCUGGCAGUGACAUUAAAUCUGUCUCAGUCUUGGAAUCUCUGAUUUCCUCUUCUGCUACAUCUUUUUCUCCUCUGUUGCCUUUAGCCAGAGAAAUUGCACUGCUUUUAAAGGGCUGAGGUGAUUAGAUUGGGCCUAACUGGAUCCUUCAGGAUGAUCUUCCUAUCUUAAGGUUUAUUACCUUAAUUAUAUCUGCAGGGUCCCUUGUGCCAUGUAAGGCAAUGUACUCACAGUUGCAGGGCUUAGGGCAUGGUCAUCUUUAUGGGUCAUUAUGCAACCUACUGCAUUGUACUUUAUAAAUAUUUGUGUUUUCUGUUUUGAUAUGUCAUAAACAACAUUUUAAGAAUAAACCAAGAAAAAAUAAUUAGAUAUGUUCCAAUGAACUGGAAAUAAAUGUCCUCAGAUUAAUCUAAAUAUGAGGAGAAUUUCAUUAAGUUUUGAAGGGUAAAAUUUGAUUUAUAGUAAAAUGUAGGUGUUUUAAUUUUUUUAAUUUUAGACUUAGAUAUAUAAAUCAACAUUCACAAACUUUAAACAUGCAUGUUUAUCACAAGGUAUUUUUUUUUUUGCCUAUUUUCCUAAGUUACUGAACAAAAUGAAUGUGUCUGUGAAUAUCACUAUAUUACUAUGAUAUUAUUGUUUUUCUUUAUUUCUCUUCUUUGUAUUUUAGUUCAUGAAGCAGUUGUAUUACUGCACUAAAUUUCUGUUUACCAGACACUUAAAUCCUUUCACUACCCAAAAAUAUAGGUUCAUCUGCUAGAAAAAAUUUCCCAUUCUUUUCAGGAAGCAUAGCUAUGAAAAUGUGGGUUUUUUUUGAAACUUUUACCAACAAAAGUAAAUAAAUGUGGACCUAUCUGCUUACCAGUUUUAGGAUAUUUGAAUAUUAUGUGAACUUACUGUUUCGUUUCCUCAUUUGUAAAUGUGUUUAAUGGUAGUUACCACAUAGGACUGUGGGUAGUAAUUGUAAAUUGUUUAGCAAUAUGUCUGGAAUACAGUUAAUAGAAAGUCGAUGAGGGAGGAUUUAUUUUUAUUAAAACAAUUAUUACAGGGGAUCAGUGAGAAACAUGCCUCUACUGCCAUGAAAGAAGGUAAAUCACAAAGGGGCUUUCUCUUUGCAUCUAAAAUUUGUUUUUCUUUUUAGCUUCCUAAGACAUUGAUCGUAGUUUUGUUACAUCGUUAAGUGUUCAUAUAAGCCUUCUCACACACAGGCCUUCACUGUAUUCUUUCUGCAUUUCUGACCCUCUUUCUCAAAAUUCUUUGCUUCUGAUGAAGUUCAUUUUUUAGAAUUUGCUUUAGUGCCUGUUUGCUGGCAGUGUACAUGCCAAGUUUUUUUUUUUUUCUAAAAAUAGUUUUAUUUCACAGCUUCAUUCUUAAGCAGCCCCACCCCCACCCCUGAGUAUAGAAUUCUAGGUUGGCAGCUAUUUUCUUUCAGUAUGAUAAAGAUAUACCUGAUUGUUUUAGGACUUCUGUGACUAUUCUUGAGAGAUCAGCUCUCAUCCCAGGGCCAAUUACUUAAGGGUAACUUGCCUUUUAUUCUUCCCCUGGCAUGGAAACUUUAAACAUUUCCUUUUUGUAUUUAGUGUUUUAUAGUUUUAAUAUGAUGAAUCUAGGCUUGGCUUUCUUUUUGUUUAUCAUGUUUAGUAUUCAUCUGGCUUUGAGAAGCUCUGAAAUAGUGUUUUAUAUUAGUCCUGGAAACUCUCCAGCCUUUCUCUUCUCAGUUACUGCCUCUCCCCAACUCUCUUCCUUCCCUGAUUAAAUUUAAGUUAGACUUUCUCAUCCUAUCUUCCACAGAUUUUAAAUUCUAUUUCCCUCUUGAAAAAAAAAA